CCCCGGGCGACUGGGGGUCUGGAGGAAGUCCGAGGCAAAGCGCUGGCCUGACGAACAGGAAGCGGAUGAGGCGUCGUAUCGGGGUGAGGCAGCCGAUAUUGCCAAAGCCCAAUACUUGCACGGAGCGAUGCGACGUAGAUCCGACGGGCAUAAGCGUGAAGGUGGGUGCGU
Molecule: non-coding RNA, 171 nt
Filed under: Burkholderia cenocepacia
Lineage: Bacteria; Pseudomonadati; Pseudomonadota; Betaproteobacteria; Burkholderiales; Burkholderiaceae
Source: RNAcentral